GGAGAGCUCAGUACGGUAGAGCGACGGCUUCGUAAGCCGUAAGUCCUGGGAUCGAAGCCCAGCCGGGGCUCCA
RNAcentral lists this transfer RNA (73 nucleotides) under Candidatus Bathyarchaeota archaeon. RNAcentral describes it as "tRNA-Thr". The stretch from base 5 to 62 matches the Rfam family "tRNA", at positions 9 to 63 of the family's 71-position model. Rfam says of the family: Transfer RNA (tRNA) molecules are approximately 80 nucleotides in length. Their secondary structure includes four short double-helical elements and three loops (D, anti-codon, and T loops). The record is from RNAcentral. Lineage: Archaea; Thermoproteati; Candidatus Bathyarchaeota.